UCUUUUAGUGGCUGAAUAAAGCAUUGGCCUCUUAAGCCAAACCAUGAUAAAAUCCUAAAAGAA
RNAcentral lists this transfer RNA (63 nucleotides) under Lebertia trifurcilla. Its description in RNAcentral is "tRNA-Lys". It matches the Rfam family "tRNA". Rfam says of the family: Transfer RNA (tRNA) molecules are approximately 80 nucleotides in length. Their secondary structure includes four short double-helical elements and three loops (D, anti-codon, and T loops). Further hydrogen bonds mediate the characteristic L-shaped molecular structure. tRNAs have two regions of fundamental functional importance: the anti-codon, which is responsible for specific mRNA codon recognition, and the 3' end, to which the tRNAs corresponding amino acid is attached (by aminoacyl-tRNA synthetases). tRNAs cope with the degeneracy of the genetic code in two manners: having more than one tRNA (with a specific anti-codon) for a particular amino acid; and 'wobble' base-pairing, i.e. permitting non-standard base-pairing at the 3rd anti-codon position. The record is from RNAcentral. Lineage: Eukaryota; Metazoa; Arthropoda; Arachnida; Trombidiformes; Lebertiidae.